RNAcentral lists this ribosomal RNA (448 nucleotides) under uncultured cyanobacterium. Its description in RNAcentral is "bacterial SSU rRNA". It matches the Rfam family "Bacterial small subunit ribosomal RNA", at positions 8 to 503 of the family's 1533-position model. Lineage: Bacteria; Bacillati; Cyanobacteriota. The record is from RNAcentral.
AGAGUUUGAUCAUGGCUCAGGAUGAACGCUGGCGGUCUGCUUAACACAUGCAAGUCGAACGGACUCUUCGGAGUUAGUGGCGGACGGGUGAGUAACGCGUGAGAAUCUACCUUCAGGACGGAGACAACAGUUGGAAACGACUGCUAACCCCCGAUGAACCGAAAGGGCAAAUAUUUAUAGCCUGAAGAAGAGCUCGCGUCCGAUUAGCUAGUUGGAGAGGUAAAAGCUCACCAAGGCGACGAUCGGUAGCUGGUCUGAGAGGACGAUCAGCCACACUGGGACUGAGACACGGCCCAGACUCCUACGGGAGGCAGCAGUGGGGAAUUUUCCGCAAUGGGCGAAAGCCUGACGGAGCAAGACCGCGUGGGGGAAGAAGGCUCUUGGGUCGUAAACUCCUUUUCUCUGGGAAGAACAAAAUGACGUACCAGUGAAUCAGCUCGAUUCGCUC